AGUGAACGCUGGCGGUAGGCCUAACACAUGCAAGUCGAACGGCAGCACAGUAAGAGCUUGCUCUUACGGGUGGCGAGUGGCGGACGGGUGAGGAAUACAUCGGCAUCUACUUUUUCGUGGGGGAUAACGUAGGGAAACUUACGCUACUACCGCAUACGACCUACGGGUGAAAGCAGGGGAUCUUCGGACCUUGCGCGAUUGAAUGAGCCGAUGUCGGAUUAGCUAGUUGGCGGGGUAAAGGCCCACCAAGGCGACGAUCCGUAGCUGGUCUGAGAGGAUGAUCAGCCACACUGGAACUGAGACACGGUCCAGACUCCUACGGGAGGCAGCAGUGGGGAAUAUUGGACAAUGGGCGCAAGCCUGAUCCAGCCAUACCGCGUGGGUGAAGAAGGCCUUCGGGUUGUAAAGCCCUUUUGUUGGGAAAGAAAAGCAGCAGGUUAAUACCCCGCUGUUCUGACGGUACCCAAAGAAUAAGCACCGGCUAACUUCGUG
Molecule: ribosomal RNA, 492 nt
Filed under: uncultured bacterium
Lineage: Bacteria
Description: partial 16S ribosomal RNA
Rfam family: Bacterial small subunit ribosomal RNA
Source: RNAcentral